AGUUUAUGUUGACAGUGGCUUGGUUGUCGUCAUUCGUGACGCUUUAAAACACCAAUGAACUGCAGAUCAGACUAUAUGUAAACAUGAUUGAUUCAUUUU
Molecule: non-coding RNA, 99 nt
Organism: Bombyx mori (domestic silkworm)
Lineage: Eukaryota; Metazoa; Arthropoda; Insecta; Lepidoptera; Bombycidae
Source: RefSeq, marked provisional